UCUGUUUCUCCAGGAAAAGAUUCAGACCCAUUUGAAGACUCUGCGGGAAGAGAGAGAAAAGCUGCUGGGAUUUAAAGUGACUGGAGAGAAGAGAAGCCAGGAAUACCUGGGAAAGACACAAACUGAGAGGCAGAAGAUUGUGUCUGAAUUUCAGGAACUGCAGCAGUUCCUGGAGGAACAAGAGCGACUCCUGUUGGCCUAGCUGGAAAAUCUGGACAAGGAGAUUGUGAAGAUACAGAAUGAAAAUGUCAGUAAACUAUCCCAGGAGAUUUCCUGUCUCAGUGAGCUGAUCAGUGAGCUGGAGGGGAAGUACCAGAAGCCAUCAGGUGAAUUCCUGCAGGAUGACAGAAGCACCUUGAGCAGGUACGUGGCCCUCUCACUCCCAUGGGCGGCGGAUAUCAGAGGCAGGGGAAGGCAAUGCCUUCCCAAACUACCAAAUGUGGCCCCACCCACACUCUACCCCCAGCAAUCUCCCUGCUUCGGCACAGCUCCCUCCAGCCUCUGGCCGC
RNAcentral lists this long non-coding RNA (509 nucleotides) under Terrapene triunguis (Three-toed box turtle). RNAcentral describes it as "Terrapene carolina triunguis (Three-toed box turtle) lncRNA (ENSTMTG00000004313.1)". The record is from RNAcentral. Lineage: Eukaryota; Metazoa; Chordata; Testudines; Emydidae.